Molecule: ribosomal RNA, 1716 nt
Filed under: Thraustochytriidae sp.
Lineage: Eukaryota; Bigyra; Thraustochytrida; Thraustochytriidae
Description: Thraustochytriaceae sp. partial small subunit ribosomal RNA
Rfam family: Eukaryotic small subunit ribosomal RNA
Source: RNAcentral
GAGGCUGCUGUCUCAGAUUAGCCAUGCAUGUGUAAGUAUAAGCGAUUGUACUGUGAGACUGCGAACGGCUCAUUAUAUCAGUAAUAAUUUCUUCGGUAGUUUCUUUUAUAUGGAUACCUGCAGUAAUUCUGGAAAUAAUACAUGCUGUAAGAGCCCUGUAUGGGGCUGCACUUAUUAGAUUGAAGCCGAUUUUAUUGGUGAAUCAUGAUAAUUGAGCAGAUUGACUUUUUUGGUCGAUGAAUCGUUUGAGUUUCUGCCCCAUCAGUUGUCGACGGUAGUGUAUUGGACUACGGGGACUAUAACGGGGGACGGAAAGUUAGGGCUCGACUCCGGAAAGGGAGCCUGAAAGACGGCUACCAUAUCCAAGGAUAGCAGCAGGGGCGUAAAUUACCCACUGGGGACUCCACGAGGUAGUGACAAAAAAUAUCGAUGCGAAGCGGGUAUGCGUUUUGCUAUCGGAAUGAAAGCAAUGUAAAACCCUCAUCGAGGAUCAACUGGAGGGCAAGUCUGGGGCCAGCAGCCGCGGUAAUUCCAGCUCCAAAAGCAUAUGCUAAAGUUGUUGCAGUUAAAAAGCUCGUAGUUGAAUUUCUGGCAUGGGCGACCGGGGCUUAUACAGCUGAACGGGGAUUGCAGUGGCUACGUUGAUUCGCAUUGAGCCGAUCAGAUUGAAGUCGUACUGUCAAUUCCUGCGUAGGAAAAAUCUUUCACUGUAAUCAAAGCAAAGUGUUCCAAGCAGGUCGAAUAACCGGUAUGGUUAUUAUGGGAUGAUAAGAUAGGACUGGGGUGCUAUUUUGGUUGGUAAGGCACGCCUGAGUAAUGGUUAAUAGGGAACAGUUGGGGGUAUUCGUUAUUUAAGGAGCCUAAGAGGUAAAUUUCUUGGAUUUCCGAAAGACGAACUAAGCGAGAGCAUUUACCAACAUGUUUCCAUUAUCAAGAACGAAAUCUGGGAUCAGAAGAUGAUUAGAUACAUCCGUAGUGUAGACCGAAACCGAUGCCACUGCAAUUGUGGGGCCUUUAUAUGGCCUCACAGCAGCGCAAUGGAAAUCAAAGUCUCUGGUUCCCGGGAAUAGGUUCAAGGCGAAACUUAAGGAAUGACGGAAGGCCCCCCCAGGAUUGGACCGGGGCUUAAUUUGACUCACCCCGGAAAACUUCCCAGGUCCGGACAUAGGUAGGAUUGACGGUUUGGGGGUUUUUUCAGGAUUUUAGGGGGGGGGGGCCAGGCCCGUUUUUAGUGGGGGGAGGGAUUUUUUGGGUUAAUUCCGUUAACAAAGGGGCCCUGGCCCUAUAAAAAAGGGGGGGGUAGGGAAAAAAAGUACUUUUUAACUUUUUAAAGGGACAUUUCCGGUUUACGGGCAGGAAGUUGGAGGCAAAAACAGGUUUGGGAUGCCCUUAGAUUUUUUGGGCCCCCCCCCCGUUCCCCUGAUGGGUUCAUCGGGUUUUAAUUUUAAUUUUUGGAAUUGAGUGCUUGGUCGGAAGGCCUGGCUAAUCCUUGGAACGCUCAUCGUGCUGGGGCUAGAUUUUUGCAAUUAUUAAUCUCCAACGAGGAAUUCCUAGUAAACGCAAGUCAUCAGCUUGCAUUGAAUACGUCCCUGCCCUUUGUACACACCGCCCGUCGCACCUACCGAUUGAACGGUCCGAUGAAACCAUGGGAUGUUUCUGUUUGGAUUGAUUUUUGGACAGAGGCAGAACUCGGGUGAAUCUUAUGUAGAGACUAUG